AUUGAACGCUGGCGGCAUGCCUUACACAUGCAAGUCGAACGGCAGCACGGGUGCUUGCACCUGGUGGCGAGUGGCGAACGGGUGAGUAAUAUAUCGGAACGUACCUUAUUGUGGGGGAUAACGCAGCGAAAGCUGUGCUAAUACCGCAUAAUCCCUAAGGGGGAAAGCGGGGGACCGUAAGGCCUCGCGCAAUUAGAGCGGCCGAUACCUGAUUAGCUAGUUGGUGAGGUAAAGGCUCACCAAGGCAACGAUCAGUAGCUGGUCUGAGAGGACGAUCAGCCACACUGGGACCGAGACACGGCCCAGACUCCUACGGGAGGCAGCAGUGGGGAAUUUUGGACAAUGGGGGCAACCCUGAUCCAGCAAUGCCGCGUGAGUGAAGAAGGCCUUCGGGUUGUAAAGCUCUUUUGUCAGGGAAGAAACAGCAGCUCUAACACAGUAUGCGAAUGACGGUACCUGAAGAAUAAGCACCGGCUAACUAUGUGCCAGCAGCCGCAGUAA
This 501-nucleotide ribosomal RNA is filed under the name uncultured bacterium. RNAcentral describes it as "partial 16S ribosomal RNA". It matches the Rfam family "Bacterial small subunit ribosomal RNA", at positions 30 to 523 of the family's 1533-position model. The record is from RNAcentral.